Molecule: ribosomal RNA, 228 nt
Filed under: uncultured bacterium
Lineage: Bacteria
Description: partial 16S ribosomal RNA
Rfam family: Bacterial small subunit ribosomal RNA
Source: RNAcentral
CGUGUAGGCGGUUAAUUAAGUCGGUUGUUAAAUUCCUCGGCCUAACUGAGGGCGAGCGACCGAUACUGGUUGACUAGAGUGCAGAAGAGAGAAGUGGAAUUAUCGGAGUAGCGGUAAAAUGCGCAGAUCUCGAUAGGAACACCGAUUGCGAAGGCAGCUUCUUGGUCUGUCACUGACGCUAAAGUGCGAAAGCGUGGGGAGCAAACAGGAUUAGAUACCCUGGUAGUC